Triticum dicoccoides is the source of this 2938-nucleotide long non-coding RNA. RefSeq lists it as uncharacterized. The transcript has 4 exons. Lineage: Eukaryota; Viridiplantae; Streptophyta; Magnoliopsida; Poales; Poaceae. The record is from RefSeq and is a predicted model, not a curated record.
UCCAAACGGUCAAACCCUAGCCGCCAACCCUUCUGGUCCCGAGCCCGCGCCUCCUGAGCCUCCACUCUCGCUCUCUCUCCUCUCCCACUCCGUCGCCUUCCCUCUCCCCGCUCGUCGCCUCCAUCCUCCCGUCGACGCCCUUUCCUCCCGCUUCCCCACCGUUGCCCUGACGCCUCCACCAGCUACCAGCUUCCACAGAUCCAGUCCGAGGCAGGGAAGGACCUCAUCGUCGCUCCGUUGCUUAGGCCCCAUGGCGGCGCUCGGGUCGGGCCGGGGUUGUGCAGAAGGUCGCCGCCUGCGGGCGAAAGCAGUGGAGUUGCCCUGGAGGGAGGCUCGCCGGCCUGAGCAGUAGGAACAACGAGGUCGUGCAGCGGUGAAUGGGGGCGAGGUCGACCGUGGAUGGAGGCUCGCCGGCCGGAGUAGCAGGACCAGCGAGGUCGAGAUAGUUCAGGUUUGCCUCUAAUCUUCUCCCCCUAUCCCUUUACCCUCUCUCUUAUUUCCACCUUUGUCUUGUGGAUGAGGGCAUCCGUGCACUACGAGGAGUGGAUCACUCCGCCCUCAGCUUUGCUGUCCCAAACGCAGCAGAGCUCAAGUUCUAGGAUAAGGACAAAAUCAGGCAGUCGAUUAAGGUGAGGUUUCCCAUGGAUUAUAUAGAUUUCUCUAUUGGUCUAUUUUACUAGGAUUUUUGAGUGAUAGUGCUUGUAAUGGAAGUUUUAGAAACAAAAUCAUGCUUGGACUAAGUACCUCGGCACAUAUUAGCGAGUCUAUUUGGUUGGCUCAGUAUUGAUGAAGAACACUUUUCCAUGGCUCGUGAACAUGUUGGUCCUCCUAUUUUGAUUUGUCCAGGUUUUUGAAAGAAAAGAAAAGGAAAUAACAUACACACUCUGAAUUGUGCAGGUUUUCAAAAGAAAAGAAAGGAAAUAAGAUGUAGUAAAUUUUGGUGAAGAACAAUUUUCCAUGGCUCGUGAACAUGUUGGUCCUCCUAUUUUGUUUUUUCAUGAUUUGUGGUCCAUGCAUGCUUUUGAUAUUCAAUCACUUUAUUUGUUCACAUCCUACUAGAUGUUGAGCAGUCUACAAUCAAAGCACCACUCGAGUUUCAUAAAUAGUACAAAGAUGAGGCUGGAGGAUGGAUCUGAAGCAUAGUUUUAAAUAGCCGGCUAUAGCCCCGCUAUAGCCUUGCUAUAGCCUUUUCAGCAGGGUGCCACUAAAUGGUUUCAUGUACAAAUAGUCCGCUAUAGCCUGCUAUAGCCCGCUAUAGCUGAUUUUGAGGUCCGCUGCUAUUUGGCAUAGCCCGCUAUUUAAAAUAUUGAUCUGAAGUGUGAAGGCAUGUCACUUCCGUGAGUUCUCUAUCUUUACUCCCACAUGACGGUUCUUUUAAUUGUCAUUCUAAUUUCAAAAUUAGUGUUCUAUCUACCACUGGGACCUUGCCUUAUUUUUAAUGUUUACUUAACACAUUAAAAUUCCUGCAUGUUAGUAUUUGAGAUAUUCCAUGGGUGCUGGGUGCUACUGCUUCUGAUUACAUGCGAUUCCAUUUGGUUUCACUUUGAUUAUGUUUUUGUACAGAUCUUUUGCAGGUUGGGCUGUUGGUGAAUCUUGAUGCUAUGUUUAUAGUCUGCUUUUAAACCCCACCCUGUACUACACACCAGAUAUGGAGCCAUUGUUUAUAUUUGGUCUCAUUUUAUUUCAAUUACGACUAGAUAUCAAGUUUAUAGCAUGUGAACUCUAAAGCCUCAAGACUCAAGUGGCUCUAAUGCUUACCCAACAUUCAGAAUAGAGAGAUCAACCCUGAAGCAUCAGUGCAUUGAAAACUGGUGGAUGGGAGAUUACAGUAUAUUAUACUACAGAAAACUGGUGGAUGGGAGAUCACAGUCAAGCUACUCACAUAUGACUCCUAUCAGUGCAUCCGAGAAUUCUCAAAUGAAGUUUGCUUCUGUUUUGGCCUGACUUACAUUUCUACUAUCUGGCUUGUCAUUUUGAAGUAUGUAAGUAGGAUUGUAUAAAUGCACACAUCAACAUCUCUAUCAAUCAGGUUCGCUAACUGUUAGUUUCGUGUUUAUCCAUUUUUCUUUGGGUCGCAGCACAGUAUCAUCCGGUUGGUUGUUUUUGUCGCCCAUUCUGUAAAUUCAUCUUAGCAAUAAAGCAUUGACAAGUGUGUUCAUUGCUCUCCUUGUCAAACAAAAUAUCAACAUCUGGUUCUUUAAUCUGCUUUUAAUCCUUAUCGGUCUACUACAAUGGAACCGAUUCCUCACCCAAUCUGAACUGUAUGUCCAACAACUCCUUUAUUGUUUUGCCUCUUCUCUUUUAUUCUCCAUAAAUUUACAGCUUCCGUGUUUAGAUGUUUCCAUGCAUAUUUUCUAAAAUUUGUUUUAUCGCUCGAAUCAAAUUUACUUAUACUGUGCUCAACUUUAGCUCAUGAACUGCAUGGCAAAAGCUAAUUCUGAUUGGUCUUCUGCCACUUUUUGUUUUAUGGCUUUCUACGCAACUGAAGGCAUGCUUCUAGAUUAUGAGAGUAUGUAGAUAGCAUGUAUGGUUUUUCAUUGUCUUGCACAGGUAGAGAUGCAUCACACGAUCCUUUGACAUUAUGGGUAUUGCAGAGUCCUUUCUUACAAAGGCAGGAGCUGUACCAUUCGACUUAAAGGGCGAAGAGUUCAUGCAAGGGGGUGGUCUCUAGGAUAUAUACACAAAAGAUGAAAUUUCCUUUUUUAUAGAACCAAAUUAUAUCAUGUAAUUGACCAUUAUUUCUAAGUGCUUCUCCUAUACAAAAUGUUCAUCAUGUAUUAAGUACCCCCUUCAUCCCACAAUUAAAACCAUUUUGCAAGUUAACAUAGCUUGCAAAAAUGUCUUAUAUUAUGGGACGGAGGGAGUACAUUUUAUUGUGUCACGUAUGUUUACCUCUCUUUUUAAAUUCAAGUUUACAACUAUUCAGACCUUCUAAUUG